RNAcentral lists this ribosomal RNA (492 nucleotides) under uncultured bacterium. RNAcentral's name for it is "partial 16S ribosomal RNA". It matches the Rfam family "Bacterial small subunit ribosomal RNA", at positions 28 to 507 of the family's 1533-position model. The record is from RNAcentral.
GACGAACGCUGGCGGCGUGCUUAACACAUGCAAGUCGAACGGAAAGGCCCCCACUUUUUUGGUGGGGGUGCUCGAGUGGCGAACGGGUGAGUAACACGUGGGUGAUCUGCCCUGUACUUCGGGAUAAGCUUGGGAAACUGGGUCUAAUACCGGAUAGGACCAUGGUUUAGUGUCUCAUGGUGGAAAAAUUAUUGUUUUGGUGCAGGAUGAGCUCGCGGCCUAUCAGCUUGUUGGUGGGGUAAUGGCCUACCAAGGCGUCGACGGGUAGCCGGCCUGAGAGGGUGGACGGCCACAUUGGGACUGAGAUACGGCCCAGACUCCUACGGGAGGCAGCAGUGGGGAAUAUUGCACAAUGGGCGCAAGCCUGAUGCAGCGACGCCGCGUGGGGGAUGACGGCCUUCGGGUGGUAAACUCCUUUCGUUAGGGACGAAGCCGCACCUUUUUGGGGUGUGGUGACGGUACCUUUGUUAAGAAGCACCGGCUAACUACGUG